CUAGGGAGCGAGCGUUGUCCGGAAUUACUGGGCGUAAAGGGCACGCAGGCGGUCAUAUAAGUCAGCUGUUAAAUGUAUGGGCUUAACCGAUGCAUGCGGUUGAAACUGUAUGACUGGAGUACUGGAGAGGUAAGCGGAAUUCCCGGUGUAGCGGUGAAAUGCGUAGAUAUCGGGAAGAACACCAGUGGCGAAGGCGGCUUACUGGCCAGUUACUGACGCUGAGGUGCGAAAGCCAGGGGAGCGAACCGGAUUAGAUACCCGUGUAGUCC
This 269-nucleotide ribosomal RNA is filed under the name uncultured archaeon. Its description in RNAcentral is "partial 16S ribosomal RNA". It matches the Rfam family "Bacterial small subunit ribosomal RNA", at positions 527 to 796 of the family's 1533-position model. The record is from RNAcentral.